AUCAUGAUCAACAUUGUGCAAGGCUUUUGUGAGACGAGCUAUUGCAUGGUCUUUAUGGUUACGCUGUUCGUAUCCCAACAGGAGUUUUGACGGAGUGGCCUUAAUUGUCGAAUGCCGUCUACAGUUUCCUGGAGUGGACCGAAGUGGUCUAUGUGUAUCAAUUCCAAGGGAGACUUUGGCAACGGAUACAAUUGAGUCUCGCUCUCCAGUCUAUUAGAGGAACUGUUUGCGGGUCUGCUAAUUGGAGGAAUUCGAAUCUUCGCUCUAGUGGAAGUUCAUCCACAAGUGCAACACUACGACUGAGGGCAUCUGCGUGUACCAUCCUAUUACCCGGCCGUUCAAAACUGUGGUAACGCGACUCAGCCGCGUUCGUUGACUGACUGAAGAAAGCCACAGGGGCCCAUGGACCGUCACUCUGACGUUGGAGGAGGACCGCUCCUAUACCUCCACUGCAUGCAUCGGUAUGCAACUGAGUCUCAGCUGCGGGGUCAAAUAGUCUUAAC
Molecule: non-coding RNA, 503 nt
Organism: Nylanderia fulva
Lineage: Eukaryota; Metazoa; Arthropoda; Insecta; Hymenoptera; Formicidae
Source: RefSeq, a predicted model, not a curated record